GAGCACGCGAGUACGUACUCGCGUACUUGGGCAUUGAUAAACGGCCAUGGUGUCAUUCUCGUCCUCGUCGUCGCCAAAAGUGCCGUCGUCCGCGGCUGCGGCACUAGUGCAGCUUUCAUUAGCUUGCGUCUGACCUGCAGCGAUAUCAUUCUGGCUUGGUGGGGUGUCAGCCAGCGAGUCCUCUGAUUCUGACCUUGUUCUUUUACUACUCAGAGUCUGAAGCCAGGAGAGCAUAUUAAGUGUUCAUUGUUUUUGUAUUUUAACCGAGCAGCUGUUUGCGCGUUUUACACACCCUCUCCGGACCACGUUGACAUGACAACGGCAAAAGCGACGCAUGCGCUUUUCACUUGUAAAACACAUUGGUGUAUGGGUAAUGUAGUCUCUGCUCUCGGUGGGACGAAUUAGGAAGCGUGCUUGUGAAGGGCGCUCUGAAAAGCGGCAGCGCAGCCAAACGAUUAUAACAGAUGUGCAAAUGAGAGUACCGGUACGCUAAAAGCACGUUCUGGGCGCAUGGAGAGGUGGCGGUACUCUCAAGAGCUAUAUUUAGAAGUGGCGGUACUGAGUACCGGCGCGUACCGGCCCACUUAAAGCACUGGUUAGUGUUCCCCUGUCUCGUCAGGUUAAUCAGGUCCAGCUGUGUCUCCCACCUGUAUGUGAUUGCCCAGUGUCCCUCUGUGUAUUUAUAGUGUGUGUUUCCCUCAGUUCCUCGUCGCGUCGUCUGUGUUCAUCACUCAGUGUCACCCUGCCUACUCUGCAUUGCUCUGUGUUCCUCCUCUGUGUCACCCUGCGUGCUCUCCCUGCUGUCCUCCCUCCAUGCUCAGUGGCCAGUGCGAAGUUGUGCUGCAGAUCCCAGUAUGAAAGCUGAGGGUCCAGUCAGCCGGCAGAAAGGCCAGUUGAUGCCUCGACGUGCGUUGGAACCGGUUUUGCCCGCACAGAGCGUUUCUGACAUGCUGACGUUGCUUAUGCAUAAGAGAAAAGCAACAGUACAGAGUGCUUCUCUGCCCCAGGACAUCCUUUCACACGGAGAAAGGUGAUGGCAGGAGCUUUUUUAAAUGCAUUUCGAAUCAACUUUUUUUUGUUUGUUUUACAAGAAGUGUAUUUCAUACAUUGGAACAAAUGUAAUCUUUUCUAUACUUUAUAACUAUGAAACUCUAAAGAUUUUAAGUUCAUGCACAUUGUGAAACAAGAAUCUAAAUCUUUCUGUCACAAUGAUUUCUAUAAACGCAUGAUGUUUAUGGGGAUAAUGUGAAAAAUCUUUUGUGGGCUCUAAUAAUGAUCAGUGGUGAUUGAAGAGGAAGCUUGAACCCCGGCUCUGGAGAUUUUCAUGACAAGUGACAGUGCAGACAUUUGUUAAUGAGAGAAUAUGUUUUAUCAUCAUAACGACUGGGAAUUUAAGCGAGAAAGAAGUGUUUACUCAUGUUUUUUAAUAGAAGACUUAAAACACUAAACUCUAAUUUCUGGGGUUUAUUUUAAGUUUACAGAAUAUAACAUCUUGUAUGACAAUGAGUU
Molecule: long non-coding RNA, 1509 nt
Organism: Oreochromis aureus
Lineage: Eukaryota; Metazoa; Chordata; Actinopteri; Cichliformes; Cichlidae
Exons: 3
Source: RefSeq, a predicted model, not a curated record